RNAcentral lists this ribosomal RNA (481 nucleotides) under uncultured bacterium. RNAcentral's name for it is "partial 16S ribosomal RNA". It matches the Rfam family "Bacterial small subunit ribosomal RNA", at positions 28 to 507 of the family's 1533-position model. The record is from RNAcentral.
GAUGAACGCUGGCGGCGUGCCUAACACAUGCAAGUCGAACGGAGAUUACGGACGGAAGUUUUCGGAUGGAAGACUGUAAUUCUUAGUGGCGGACGGGGGAGUAACGCGUGGGCAACCUGCCCUAUACAGGGGGAUAGCAGCUGGAAACGGCUGGUAAGACCGCAUAAUUCGGCGAGACCGCAUGGUUUUGCCGGGAAAUGAGCAAUCAGGUAUAGGAUGGGCCCGCGUCCGAUUAGCCAGUUGGCAGGGUAAAAGCCUACCAAAGCAACGAUCGGUAGCCGGACUGAGAGGUCGGUCGGCCACAUUGGGACUGAGACACGGCCCAAACUCCUACGGGAGGCAGCAGUGGGGGAUAUUGCACAAUGGAGGAAACUCUGAUGCAGCGACGCCGCGUGAGUGAAGAAGUAUUUCGGUAUGUAAAGCUCUAUCAGCAGGGAAGAUGAUGACGGUACCUGACGAAGAAGCCCCGGCUAACUACGUG